AGAGUUUGAUCCUGGCUCAGAUUGAACGCUGGCGGAAUGCUUUACACAUGCAAGUCGAACGGCAGCACGGGUGCUUGCACCUGGUGGCGAGUGGCGAACGGGUGAGUAAUGCGUCGGAACGUGCCGAGUAAUGGGGGAUAACGCAGCGAAAGUUGUGCUAAUACCGCAUACGCCCUCCGGGGGAAAGCAGGGGAUCGCAAGACCUUGCGUUAUUCGAGCGGCCGACGUCUGAUUAGCUUGUUGGUGAGGUAAUGGCUCACCAAGGCGACGAUCAGUAGCGGGUCUGAGAGGAUGAUCCGCCACACUGGGACUGAGACACGGCCCAGACUCCUACGGGAGGCAGCAGUGGGGAAUUUUGGACAAUGGGGGCAACCCUGAUCCAGCCAUUCCGCGUGAGUGAAGAAGGCCUUCGGGUUGUAAAGCUCUUUCAGCAGGAACGAAACGGUACGCUCUAACAUAGCGUGCUAAUGACGGUACCUGCAGAAGAAGCACCGGCUAACUACGUGCCAGCAGCCGCGGUAAUACGUAGGGUGCGAGCGUUAAUCGGAAUUACUCGGCGUAAAGCGUGCGCAGGCGGAUUGUUAAGCAAGACGUGAAAUCCCCGGGCUUAACCUGGGAAUGGCGUUUUGAACUGGCAGUCUAGAGUGUGUCAGAGGGGGGUGGAAUUCCACGUGUAGCAGUGAAAUGCGUAGAGAUGUGGAGGAACACCAAUGGCGAAGGCAGCCCCCUGGGAUAACACUGACGCUCAUGUACGAAAGCGUGGGUAGCAAACAGGAUUAGAUACCCUGGUAGUCG
RNAcentral lists this ribosomal RNA (795 nucleotides) under uncultured bacterium. RNAcentral describes it as "bacterial SSU rRNA". It matches the Rfam family "Bacterial small subunit ribosomal RNA", at positions 8 to 796 of the family's 1533-position model. The record is from RNAcentral.